This 253-nucleotide ribosomal RNA is filed under the name uncultured bacterium. Its description in RNAcentral is "partial 16S ribosomal RNA". It matches the Rfam family "Bacterial small subunit ribosomal RNA", at positions 524 to 776 of the family's 1533-position model. The record is from RNAcentral.
UACGUAGGGACCAAGCGUUGUUCGGAUUUACUGGGCGUAAAGGGCGCGUAGGCGGCAUAUUAAGUCAGCUGUGAAAUCUCCGAGCUUAACUAGGAACUGUCAGCUGAUACUGAUGUGCUAGAGUGCAGAAGGGGCAAUCGGAAUUCUUGGUGUAGCGGUGAAAUGCGUAGAUAUCAAGAGGAACACCUGAGGUGAAGACGGGUUGCUGGGCUGACACUGACGCUGAGGCGCGAAAGCCAGGGGAGCAAACGGG